This 303-nucleotide ribosomal RNA is filed under the name uncultured bacterium. RNAcentral describes it as "partial 16S ribosomal RNA". It matches the Rfam family "Bacterial small subunit ribosomal RNA", at positions 507 to 807 of the family's 1533-position model. The record is from RNAcentral.
AGCAGUAGCCACGGUAAUACGUAGGUGGCAAGCGUUGUCCGGAAUUAUUGGGCGUAAAGGGCUCGCAGGCGGUUUCUUAAGUCUGAUGUGAAAGCCCCCGGCUCAGCCGGGGAGGGUCAUUGGAAACUGGGAAACUUGAGUGCAGAAGAGGAGAGUGGAAUUCCACGUGUAGCGGUGAAAUGCGUAGAGAUGUGGAGGAACACCAGUGGCGAAGGCGACUCUCUGGUCUGUAACCGACGCUGAGGAGCGAAAGCGUGGGGAGCGAACAGGAUUAGAUACCCCGGUAGUCCCUGUCUCUUAUAC